AAUUCAUCAUGAGUAGCGGAGGGACUGGCCCGGUGAAACUACGACAACCUUUCCAAUGGAAAACGGUGCCAAAUCCAGCGGGUAUUCUGCUCGAAAGAUGAUAU
This is a regulatory RNA element of Dialister invisus CAG:218, 104 nucleotides long. It matches the Rfam family "SAM riboswitch aptamer (S box leader)". From Rfam's summary of the family: The SAM riboswitch is found upstream of a number of genes which code for proteins involved in methionine or cysteine biosynthesis in Gram-positive bacteria. The SAM riboswitch acts at the level of transcription termination control. The predicted structure consists of a complex stem-loop region followed by a single stem loop terminator region. The record is from Rfam. Lineage: Bacteria; Bacillati; Bacillota; Negativicutes; Veillonellales; Veillonellaceae.